Molecule: ribosomal RNA, 2556 nt
Filed under: Salmonella enterica subsp. enterica serovar Stanley
Lineage: Bacteria; Pseudomonadati; Pseudomonadota; Gammaproteobacteria; Enterobacterales; Enterobacteriaceae
Description: partial 23S ribosomal RNA
Rfam family: Bacterial large subunit ribosomal RNA
Source: RNAcentral
GCCUGAAUCAGCAUGUGUGUUAGUGGAAGCGUCUGGAAAGUCGCGCGAUACAGGGUGACAGCCCCGUACACAAAAGCGCAUGUGUUGUGAGCUCGAUGAGUAGGGCGGGACACGUGGUAUCCUGUCUGAAUAUGGGGGGACCAUCCUCCAAGGCUAAAUACUCCUGACUGACCGAUAGUGAACCAGUACCGUGAGGGAAAGGCGAAAAGAACCCCGGCGAGGGGAGUGAAAAAGAACCUGAAACCGUGUACGUACAAGCAGUGGGAGCACAGGUUUACCUGUGUGACUGCGUACCUUUUGUAUAAUGGGUCAGCGACUUAUAUUCUGUAGCAAGGUUAACCGUAUAGGGGAGCCGGAGGGAAACCGAGUCUUAAUUGGGCGUUAAGUUGCAGGGUAUAGACCCGAAACCCGGUGAUCUAGCCAUGGGCAGGUUGAAGGUUGGGUAACACUAACUGGAGGACCGAACCGACUAAUGUUGAAAAAUUAGCGGAUGACCUGUGGCUGGGGGUGAAAGGCCAAUCAAACCGGGAGAUAGCUGGUUCUCCCCGAAAGCUAUUUAGGUAGCGCCUCGUGAAUUCAUCUCCGGGGGUAGAGCACUGUUUCGGCUAGGGGGCCAUCCCGGCUUACCAACCCGAUGCAAACUGCGAAUACCGGAGAAUGUUAUCACGGGAGACACACGGCGGGUGCUAACGUCCGUCGUGAAGAGGGAAACAACCCAGACCGCCAGCUAAGGUCCCAAAGUCAUGGUUAAGUGGGAAACGAUGUGGGAAGGCCCAGACAGCCAGGAUGUUGGCUUAGAAGCAGCCAUCAUUUAAAGAAAGCGUAAUAGCUCACUGGUCGAGUCGGCCUGCGCGGAAGAUGUAACGGGGCUAAACCAUGCACCGAAGCUGCGGCAGCGACACUGUGUGUUGUUGGGUAGGGGAGCGUUCUGUAAGCCUGUGAAGGUGUGUCGUGAGGCAUGCUGGAGGUAUCAGAAGUGCGAAUGCUGACAUAAGUAACGAUAAAGCGGGUGAAAAGCCCGCUCGCCGGAAGACCAAGGGUUCCUGUCCAACGUUAAUCGGGGCAGGGUGAGUCGACCCCUAAGGCGAGGCCGAAAGGCGUAGUCGAUGGGAAACGGGUUAAUAUUCCCGUACUUGGUGUUACUGCGAAGGGGGGACGGAGAAGGCUAUGUUGGCCGGGCGACGGUUGUCCCGGUUUAAGCGUGUAGGUGUGUGUUCCAGGUAAAUCCGGUUCACUUUAACACUGAGGCGUGACGACGAGGCACUACGGUGCUGAAGCAACAAAUGCCCUGCUUCCAGGAAAAGCCUCUAAGCAUCAGGUAACAUCAAAUCGUACCCCAAACCGACACAGGUGGUCAGGUAGAGAAUACCAAGGCGCUUGAGAGAACUCGGGUGAAGGAACUAGGCAAAAUGGUGCCGUAACUUCGGGAGAAGGCACGCUGACACGUAGGUGAAGUGAUUUACUCAUGGAGCUGAAGUCAGUCGAAGAUACCAGCUGGCUGCAACUGUUUAUUAAAAACACAGCACUGUGCAAACACGAAAGUGGACGUAUACGGUGUGACGCCUGCCCGGUGCCGGAAGGUUAAUUGAUGGGGUCAGCGCAAGCGAAGCUCCUGAUCGAAGCCCCGGUAAACGGCGGCCGUAACUAUAACGGUCCUAAGGUAGCGAAAUUCCUUGUCGGGUAAGUUCCGACCUGCACGAAUGGCGUAAUGAUGGCCAGGCUGUCUCCACCCGAGACUCAGUGAAAUUGAACUCGCUGUGAAGAUGCAGUGUACCCGCGGCAAGACGGAAAGACCCCGUGAACCUUUACUAUAGCUUGACACUGAACAUUGAGCCUUGAUGUGUAGGAUAGGUGGGAGGCUUUGAAGCGUGGACGCCAGUCUGCGUGGAGCCGACCUUGAAAUACCACCCUUUAAUGUUUGAUGUUCUAACGUGGACCCGUGAUCCGGGUUGCGGACAGUGUCUGGUGGGUAGUUUGACUGGGGCGGUCUCCUCCUAAAGAGUAACGGAGGAGCACGAAGGUUGGCUAAUCCUGGUCGGACAUCAGGAGGUUAGUGCAAUGGCAUAAGCCAGCUUGACUGCGAGCGUGACGGCGCGAGCAGGUGCGAAAGCAGGUCAUAGUGAUCCGGUGGUUCUGAAUGGAAGGGCCAUCGCUCAACGGAUAAAAGGUACUCCGGGGAUAACAGGCUGAUACCGCCCAAGAGUUCAUAUCGACGGCGGUGUUUGGCACCUCGAUGUCGGCUCAUCACAUCCUGGGGCUGAAGUAGGUCCCAAGGGUAUGGCUGUUCGCCAUUUAAAGUGGUACGCGAGCUGGGUUUAGAACGUCGUGAGACAGUUCGGUCCCUAUCUGCCGUGGGCGCUGGAGAACUGAGGGGGGCUGCUCCUAGUACGAGAGGACCGGAGUGGACGCAUCACUGGUGUUCGGGUUGUCAUGCCAAUGGCACUGCCCGGUAGCUAAAUGCGGAAGAGAUAAGUGCUGAAAGCAUCUAAGCACGAAACUUGCCCCGAGAUGAGUUCUCCCUGAGACUUUAGGUCUCCUGAAGGAACGUUGAAGACG